CAAUAGCGUAUAUUAACGUUGUUGCAGUUAAAAAGCUCGUAGUUGGAUUUCUGGAGGGAGCGUCAGCCCGUAUUUACGAGUGCGUGACGUCUCUGUCCAUCCUUGCGGGAAGGCACGGCAUUGAUUUGUUGUGUCGGAUCGCAUCAUUUACUGUGAAAAAAUUAGAGUGUUCAAAGCAGGCUUUCGCUUGAAUACAUUAGCAUGGAAUAAUAAGAUAGGACUUUGGUGCUAUUUUGUUGGUUGAGCCUAAAGUAAUGAUUAAUAGGGAUAGUUGGGGGCACCUGUAUUGCGUUGUCAGAGGUGAAAUUCUUGGAUUUACGCAAGACAAACAGCUGCGAAAGCGUCUGCCAAGGAUGUUUUCAUUAA
This 366-nucleotide ribosomal RNA is filed under the name uncultured eukaryote. Its description in RNAcentral is "partial 18S ribosomal RNA". It matches the Rfam family "Eukaryotic small subunit ribosomal RNA", at positions 592 to 976 of the family's 1831-position model. The record is from RNAcentral.